GGCCCAGUAGCUCAACUGGCAGAGCAAGCGACUCUUAAUCGUUAGGUUCGGGGUUCGAGUCCCUGCUGGGUCA
This 73-nucleotide transfer RNA is filed under the name Chloroflexota bacterium. RNAcentral's name for it is "Chloroflexi bacterium (wastewater metagenome) tRNA-Lys". It matches the Rfam family "tRNA". From Rfam's summary of the family: Transfer RNA (tRNA) molecules are approximately 80 nucleotides in length. Their secondary structure includes four short double-helical elements and three loops (D, anti-codon, and T loops). RNAcentral also lists the same sequence under 3 other names. Lineage: Bacteria; Bacillati; Chloroflexota. The record is from RNAcentral.